UGUUCAGGCAGAAUGGCUGCCUUCUUGACAGCUGGAAUUAGACAGGACUAAUCCCCUUACCCGAAUAAUGCUUGGGGGUUUUGGUGAAACAGACAGGCUCUUAUAGUCACUCUGAUGCCAAUCUGCAUAAACUAUAUAGGAGUCCAUUCACAUGGAUCUCCAUACACAAGCAGUGGACUUCAGAUGUAAAUGAAGAGGAAUAACCAGGGAGGCUUCCUUCAAGGGACAGUAAAGUGCCAAGAGCUGCAUGAAGAGCACAGUGCAAACAGUCACCAAACUGGACAGUGGAUUAGAUGACUGGGUUCCAUGGUUAUUUGCAUUUUUAUCCUGCGUUUCUGAUCCAGUAUCUGAUGUAUUUGGAUCUUCCCUGCUUCUCAAGUUCAGAUUAGUUUCAGCACCUGAUACAAACAGAGAAAAUGCUUGUCAGCCUCCUGUUAACUAGUGGCUUUCACAUUAACAGCAUCUCUAACAGUUUCCAGCUAGUAUUUGAUGUUAUUUGAAGAGACAUCCAUACCUACUUGCAAGAGACUAGCUACAGAGAGGUAUCAGCUGUAAGAGCAUGGUGGGAGUUCAUGAUUAUAAAAGGAAUACAACCUUUAAGUGAAAACCUAAAGACUCUGAAAAGUAAACAGCAUUUGGACUAUUAUUUCAGUAAACUGACUUUGCCGAAAAGAUA
This is a long non-coding RNA of Pipra filicauda (Wire-tailed manakin), 676 nucleotides long. RefSeq lists it as uncharacterized. The record is from RefSeq and is a predicted model, not a curated record. Lineage: Eukaryota; Metazoa; Chordata; Aves; Passeriformes; Pipridae. The transcript is spliced from 3 exons.